RNAcentral lists this ribosomal RNA (253 nucleotides) under uncultured bacterium. RNAcentral's name for it is "partial 16S ribosomal RNA". It matches the Rfam family "Bacterial small subunit ribosomal RNA", at positions 524 to 776 of the family's 1533-position model. The record is from RNAcentral.
UACAGAGGGUGCAAGCGUUGUUCGGAAUUAUUGGGCGUAAAGGGCGCGUAGGCGGUGCCACAAGUCACCUGUGAAAUCUCCGGGCUUAACUCGGAGCCUGCAGGCGAAACUGUGGUGCUGGAGUGUGGGAGAGGUGCGUGGAAUUCCCGGUGUAGCGGUGAAAUGCGUAGAUAUUGGGAGGAACACCAGUGGCGAAGGCGGCUCACUGGACCGGUACUGACGCUGAUGCGCGAAAGCGUGGGGAGCAAACGGG